UACGUAGGGUGCAGGCGUUAAUCGGAAUUACUGGGCGUAAAGCGUGCGCAGACGGUUUCGUAAGUCGGGUGUGAAAUCCCCGGGCUCAACCUGGGAAUUGCAUUCGAAACUGCGAGGCUAGGGUACGGAAGAGGGAAGCGGAAUUCCUGGUGUAGCGGUGAAAUGCGUAGAUAUCAGGAGGAACACCGGCGGCGAAGGCGGCCCUCUGGACCGUUGCUGACGCUGAGACGCGAAAGCGUGGGGAGCAAACAGG
Molecule: ribosomal RNA, 253 nt
Filed under: uncultured prokaryote
Description: partial 16S ribosomal RNA
Rfam family: Bacterial small subunit ribosomal RNA
Source: RNAcentral